This is a long non-coding RNA of Amphimedon queenslandica, 254 nucleotides long. RefSeq lists it as uncharacterized. The record is from RefSeq and is a predicted model, not a curated record. NCBI's taxonomy places the organism in Eukaryota, Metazoa, Porifera, Demospongiae, Haplosclerida, Niphatidae. The transcript has 5 exons.
AAAAAUAGUACAGUACAAAAGAGGAGUGCUCCAGAUACUCGUACACAAGGAGUGGGUCGGAAAGAUAUUACAAUAGAAAAUAGAAGUGCGCCAGUUACUCAUGCAUAAGGAGAGGGUCAGAAAGAUACAGUAGAAAGAAGAAGUGCACCAGAUACUCGUACACAAGGAAUGGGAUAUUACAGCACAAAAGAGAAGUGCACCUGUUACUCGUACACAAGGAGAGGGUCGGAAAGAUACAGUAGAAAGGAGAAGUU